RNAcentral lists this ribosomal RNA (253 nucleotides) under uncultured bacterium. RNAcentral's name for it is "partial 16S ribosomal RNA". It matches the Rfam family "Bacterial small subunit ribosomal RNA", at positions 524 to 776 of the family's 1533-position model. The record is from RNAcentral.
UACGUAGGGGGCAAGCGUUGUCCGGAUUCAUUGGGCGUAAAGAGCGCGCAGGCGGUCGUUCAAGUCGAGUGUGAAAGCCCCCGGCUCAACUGGGGAGGGUCACUUGAUACUGAUCGACUCGAAGGCAGGAGAGGGAAGCGGAAUUCCCGGUGUAGUGGUGAAAUGCGUAGAUAUCGGGAGGAACACCAGUGGCGAAGGCGGCUUCCUGGCCUGUUCUUGACGCUGAGGCGCGAAAGCUAGGGGAGCAAACGGG